RNAcentral lists this long non-coding RNA (5592 nucleotides) under Sus scrofa (pig). Its description in RNAcentral is "lncRNA (ENSSSCG00000054766.1)". Lineage: Eukaryota; Metazoa; Chordata; Mammalia; Artiodactyla; Suidae. The record is from RNAcentral.
CCGGAUCGUUAACCCACUGAGCAAGGGCAGGGAUCGAACCCGCAACCUCAUGGUUCCCAGUCAGAUUCGUUAACCACUGCACCAUGACGGGAACUCCCCUUCUUCUUUUUUUAAGGGCCAUACUCACUGCAUAUGGUGGAAGUUCCCAGGCUAGGGGUUGAAUCAGAGCUGCAGCUUCCAGCCUACACCACAGCCAUAGCAAGGCCAGAUCUGAGCAGUCUUUGCAACCUACACCACAACUCAUGACAACACCAGAUCCUUUAACCCACUGAGCAAGGCCAGGGGUUGAACCCAGAUCCUUAUGGAUCCUAUUUGGGUUCUUAACCUGCUGAGCCAUAAGCAAACUCCCAGAAUAUAUUUCUAUUCCAAAUCUUCAUUCUGAAGAACAAGGCUUUCUUCUUGAUGCUAAUAUGAAUUCUUUGAAAAUAAUUUCCAUAAUCAAAAAGUCACAGAUUUUCAUGAAGAGACAGUUAGUUCUAAGAGCUUAAGAACUUGAAAGGCCAUAGGAUUGCUUACUUUGAAAGGUUUUCUUCUCUACCACGGAAACUGAUUACUAUCUGGCAUCCUGCAUUCAAUACACAUGUUUGUCUGUAAAAAUAAUGAAAAAUAUUGAUAAUGAUCAUCUUCCAUUAAGAACAAACUCACUUUAUUCUUGUUUAAACAUACGUAACAGAUAAAUAUGCAGCGCCUGAAUAGCACCCAUAAUAUCUUGAUAUUGUUUUUGAAGGUUUUUAUUAAAUUAUAAAGACAAAAACUGUUUUCCAGGACUCAACCAUAGUUGAAGAUCCUGGAAAUUUUCAAGAAUUUCUAGGCAUAGUAUGUAAUAUUCCCAAUGGAUAUGAAGGAUUUAGAAAAGAUAUACAAGCUUCUUUCAUUUGUGACUUUUCAAAGUUUUAACUCUGCUAUUACUUUGUGAAUAAUCAAGCAAGUCUUCAAAUUUAUUUUAGCCAGUAGUCUUUUGGAGAAGAAGCAGAACACUCUUUGCAAUCUGAAGCAAAUUCAUGUGGUCCGUGCUCAAAGAAAAACACUUUUAGAAACCUGCACUACAAAUAAUUAUUCCCUGGAGCCUGUUGGAUAGGCUACUGGAAACUUUUGCUCAUGAUCUAGCUUGGUUUUGGGGAGAAAUAAAGACAAUUCUAAAUCCUCAUCCCUUAAACAGUUCUACAGUUUUGGAGAUAACUGAGUAUUUUAUUCUCUCAGAAUCUUCUUCCAGGUCAACUGUUUCAUAUAUAUAAACAUAAAUAUACAAAUUGGCUGCCAAUUUUUCACAUAUGUAGUAUAUUAAGAUAUGAUAUACUAUACUAUAAUAUAUAUUGCAUAUAUUUUUGAAUCCAAUUUAAUUAUAUUAUACAUAGCCUGGUUCAAAAGUGUAAGAUUCUCAUACAAAAUACAUUAUAAAAUACUUGAAUUCUUAUAUUUCAUAUGUUCUGCCUAAAAUUCCUCUAUCUACCUUUUUAAUUUCAUGCCCAAGUACUCUCUGGCCAAAUUAUCUUAUAGUAAAAGGUUAUAAUUAUUAAACUAUUUAUGCAUCUUACUGACAUUUCCCCUAGCUUAUUGUGAGACUAAAUUUAAAGAACUUGUAUUUCUGUAUGAGAAUCAAAUUAAUUUUACUUUUUUUCAUUCCUUUAGGCAAGUUGAAGGAAUGGUUUUAAAGCAUAGACAUAUGGUGAUCCUAGUGAAAUACAGACUUUUAUUUUUUGGUUUGAAAAAAUAAUCUAUCUGCAGGAAAUAGCUGCUUAGUGAUAAAUAAUUUCUUGAAAGAUAGAAGACAAAGUUUCAUUAAGAGAAACUGAGGAAGACAGACUGAAACAAGUUUGAGCAAAAGAUUGGUUUAAUUAUGGAAAUGUUGGAUUUGAUGGGUUGGUACAUUUUAAUAUGUUGAUCUAUUCUAGAAAUAUUUACUGAAUGCCUAUAUUUUGUGAGAGGUUGACAUGUCAGAAUAAUUAAAAGUGAAGUAUUAUAUUAAAAUCCUUAUUAUGGCAUUGAAAAUUCAGGAAGUUGGUACAAAUUAGAAGAGACAGAAUAGUUACACUUUUCAGAUUAUUCAAAAAAGGGAAAUGUUAGAAAAAUAGAAUUUAGACUUGGUAGAGAUUACUAUUUCAACCCUCAUUAUUUACAGGUAUAGAAAGUGGAUUAGAGGUUUUUUUUGUGUGUUUGUUAAUUUGUUUUAGUUUUCCAUAUGAAUAAUCUUACUUUUUUCAUUACAUUCAAGUAAGGGGAAAAAAAAAAACCUUUAAAACAGAGAAAACCUAAUCAUGAAUUUUAAUUUUACCUGCUGUAUUAGUUUUUUGUUGCUGCAGCAGCAAAUUACCAAAAAUGUAGUGACUAUAAACAACAUUACUGUCUUAUAAUUUUGAAAGUCAGAAAUCUUAAAGUCAAGAUUUCUGCAGUACUGUGUUUCUUCUCUAGGAAAUAAGGAUAGGUCCAUUUCCUUGUCUUUUCUAGUUCAAGAAAUGGUCCACGUUUUCUUAGCUCCUAGCCCAAGAUUUCAUAUUCACAGCCAGAAGGAUAGCAUCUUCCAUCCUUCUCUCUGCCUCUGAGUGUCCUGUUCCCUUUCGUAUGACUCUUGUGCUCAUCUUGGACCCAUCAGGAUCAUCAGCAAUAUUCUCCACAUCUCAAGAUACUUACUUUAUCUUAUUUAUUCAGUCCCUUUGCCAUAGAAGGUAAUGCAUUCAACAAAGAUUCCGGGAUUUAGGAUGUGGAUGUCUUUGGUUGGAAUGUUACUCAUUCCAUCACACCUGCAAUAAAUAGUUAUCAUGCUAUAUAGUUAACAACUGUGUAUUCAAAGCAUAUUGAUUGCUCAAUUUUUAAUCAAAGAUUGGAUUGAUCUAAUCAGAUCAGAGAAAGAGCAGCUUUUUUAAAUAUAUGAUAAUAAAUAUUUAUGAGUCUAUUAAGUAUAGCAAUUCAUUUAUUAUUUAUUGGCUCUUGUUCAGAAAUUCCUCUAAAUUAUUUUUGCAUUGAUUCAUCUGAGCUAAUUCAUGCAUAGCUAUUGAACAAUCGUUAGAUCUGGUAAAGAGUGCUUAUUGUUGCAAAGAAGAAAGAUACAAUCUAGGGCCAUUCCCCAGGUGUCUCUUGGCUAGAGGAAAGAGCUCAAGAAGAGUUUCCACCAUUUUUUACUUUUAAAUAGUGACGAGAGUAUAAUCAUGUUUGAUCAUAGAUAACAGAAAGCUGCCUAUGGGGGGUUAUUCAAUUGAAACUAAAUAUUAAAUGUCAAAGUUCCCAUGAGAAGAUGAAUGAUGCUUCUCACUUUUGCAUAAUACCUGUGUUACAACUAGGAAGAUGAUCUUCCUUUCCUCCUUAGACUACAAACCAGAGUCUCUAUAGAAGUUCCUACAUGAUCCAGCCAAUCUUUCCUCUCAUCUCUCUCCAUUCUACCCCAUCUUGCUCUUUUCUGGCCAGGCUGGCCUCCUUGGUACCCAUUGGUACUUUCAGCCAAGCUCCAGCUUCCACAUCUGUGCUCCAGAUAUAUCCUCUCCUGUCAGGCUCACCUAUUAGACACUUGCGUGACUCUUGUGUUCUCCAAGUCACUUUUCAAGUACUGCACUAUGGGGUGUGCAUUCCUUUGUUGCUCUGGCUAAAAUAGCAAUGCCCAACCUCACAGUUCCUCUGUCCUUGGCCAUAACUUCAUUACUUUUUGAGUAAUAUAUGUAUCCAUCCAUGCAUCUACCAGUUGAUUUAUUUAUUGUCCAUCUGACUGUUUUAUUCAUUGUAAAAAUUCUAUUGCCUAGAUAAAUGCUCCAUUAAUCAUUGAAUUUAGUUAUGUCUUUUUGUCUAGCCUUUAUAUUAACACUGAUAUUGUUUAAAUGCCUUAAAAUAUUAGCACAUCCAAUUCUCUAAACAAUCCUCUGAGGUAGACACUCUUGGUUUCUCCAUUUCAUCAGUGAGAAAAUGAGUGAAGUGUCAUUAAAAAUGAUUUCCUGUAAGGGCUCUUUGGUUUAAAAGUGUAUCUCGAUUUGCUUCUGUUGCUAUUUAUAUAAUGUUUGUUAUUACAGAAAAGUUUUUCAAAGAGUUUUUCUAUAUGUUUCUAAAGUCUUUUCCUUUGCUUUUAUAAAGGUUUUGGGAUGGUGUCAUCUUUAAAACUCUCCAGUGGUAAACCUUGGGAUGUUGGGCAUUUGACCCAUUAAUUCUAAUUUGGAAUUAAAUAGAUUACUUUGAAAAGUUGGACUUGUCUUCUGUAACAUUAUACUUCUUUUUAAUUAGAGGUCAUCGAUCAAGUAUCUUUUGUAAGGGGAGGAGCCUCACUGUUGGCUAAUAGAGGGAUUUCUCUUAAUUUUUAUUCAGUUGCUGAUUCUAUUUUAAUUGUACUCCCAGCUGAUUGUUUUCUGUCACAAUUCAAUCUUAUAAAUUGCUUGAAAACAAAGUAACAACUGUUUUAAACAGAAUUUUACCAGAAAUUAGUGUCAUGAGAUUUUCCAAUUAUCAUGACUGUGAUAUUUGGCAGUUAAAAAUAGCUUGUGUCUUUCUCUUUCACAGGGCAGUAUUUUUUAAAAAAAGCAAAAUAAAAGCAACCAAAAAACAAAAAAGCCAACUGGUUGCGCUUAAUUGUGUCCUUUAAUGAUGCUUUAAUAACUACUUUUGCUUUUACACUUUGCAUCAAGGAUUAGAAAUGUGAAUGUCUAGAGAUUCAAAAAGGUGGUUUAAAUACAUGAGUCACUUCAUAAAUGCAGUAGAAAUUGGUGAGAUUUGUGGAAAAAAUGUAGAAUGACAGCCAUACCUCAACUCUGGCAAAUUACUGGAAUAUGGAGAUAAGAUCAAGAUUAUUAGAUCUUCUCUGUUUUUUCAAAUUAAAGUUGAAAUCUGGAUUUUGAUGAGAAAUUAUAAAUCUAACAGAUAUCUCUAUCAAAUGCUGAUUCAUAUGAGUGCUAUCUAAAUUGAAUUCAUUCAAUUAAAAAUAAAAAUCAUUCUAUAGAGUGAAAUUAUUUUUAAAUGUAUAAUUUCCCUCAUAUAUAAUAAUACAUGUUUUACUUAGGCUUAUUAUAUUUACAGCUCUUGAUUUUAGAUGAAUCAAGUGUGACAAAGAAAAAAAUAAGUAUUUUGGAAUAUUCUUCUAAAGUAGGAAUUGUUAUGAAUUCCAUCCCUUUUUGCAAUAAAUAUUUCAAAACUAAUUGAGGUCUUUUCUCAAUGUUUACAAAACAUCUUUUAAUGCUUAAUACUGCACCUAAAGUGAAGGAUUAAGUCCCAGUUACAUAGAGUCAACAUUAGAUGCAUCGAUUUAUAUUUAUAUAGUUCAAAAUAUAUCAUAAGCUGUGACUUUAAAUCAAGGAAUUCCAUUAUGUAAAAGAUUCUUAGUUUUUUUUCUGUGAACCACUUCAGAAGUUUAAGGAGGAAUAAGAUAUUUCUAUAGCCUCAAGAUAUUAAUUAGGUGUUCCCGUUGUGCUUCAGUGGGUUAAGAACCCAGCUAGUAUCCAUGAGGAUGCAGAUUUGGUCUCUGGCCUUGCUCAGUGGGUUAAGGAUCUGGCGUUGCCAUGAGCUAUACCAUGAGGUAUAGGUCUCAGAAGCAGCUUGGAUCUGGUGUUGCUGUGGCUUAGGCCGGCAGCUGCAGUUCCAAUUCCACCCCUGGCCUAGGAACGUCCAUAUGUUGCAGGUGUGGCU